CCUACGGGAGGCUGCAGUAGGGAAUCUUCCACAAUGGGCGAAAGCCUGAUGGAGCAACGCCGCGUGGGUGAAGAAGGUCUUCGGAUCGUAAAACCCUGUUGUUAGAGAAGAAAGUGCGUGAGAGUAACUGUUCACGUUUCGACGGUAUCUAACCAGAAAGCCACGGCUAACUACGUGCCAGCAGCCGCGGUAAUACGUAGGUGGCAAGCGUUAUCCGGAUUUAUUGGGCGUAAAGGGAACGCAGGCGGUCUUGUAAGUCUGAUGUGAAAGCCUUGGGCUUAACCGGAGUAGUGCAUUGGAAACUGGGAGACGUGAGUGCAGAAGAGGAGAGUGGAACUCCAUGUGUAGCGGUGAAAUGCGUAGAUAUAUGGAAGAACACCAGUGGCGAAAGCGGCUCUCUGGUCUGUAACUGACGCUGAGGUUCGAAAGCGUGGGUAGCAAACAGGAUUAGAUACCCCAGUAGUC
This 465-nucleotide ribosomal RNA is filed under the name uncultured bacterium. Its description in RNAcentral is "partial 16S ribosomal RNA". It matches the Rfam family "Bacterial small subunit ribosomal RNA", at positions 338 to 795 of the family's 1533-position model. The record is from RNAcentral.